This 2907-nucleotide ribosomal RNA is filed under the name Klebsiella grimontii. RNAcentral describes it as "23S ribosomal RNA". It matches the Rfam family "Bacterial large subunit ribosomal RNA". The record is from RNAcentral. Lineage: Bacteria; Pseudomonadati; Pseudomonadota; Gammaproteobacteria; Enterobacterales; Enterobacteriaceae.
GGUUAAGCGACUAAGCGUACACGGUGGAUGCCCUGGCAGUCAGAGGCGAUGAAGGACGUGCUAAUCUGCGAAAAGCGUCGGUAAGGUGAUAUGAACCGUUAUAGCCGGCGAUGUCCGAAUGGGGAAACCCAGUGCAAUUCGUUGCACUAUCGUUUGAUGAAUACAUAGUCAAACGAGGCGAACCGGGGGAACUGAAACAUCUAAGUACCCCGAGGAAAAGAAAUCAACCGAGAUUCCCCCAGUAGCGGCGAGCGAACGGGGAGCAGCCCGGAGUCUGAAUCAGCUUGUGUGUUAGUGGAAGCGUCUGGAAAGUCGCAGGGUACAGGGUGAUACUCCCGUACACUAAAACGCACAGGUUGUGAACUCGAAGAGUAGGGCGGGACACGUGGUAUCCUGUCUGAAUAUGGGGGGACCAUCCUCCAAGGCUAAAUACUCCUGACUGACCGAUAGUGAACCAGUACCGUGAGGGAAAGGCGAAAAGAACCCCGGCGAGGGGAGUGAAAAAGAACCUGAAACCGUGUACGUACAAGCAGUAGGAGCCUCUUUAUGGGGUGACUGCGUACCUUUUGUAUAAUGGGUCAGCGACUUAUAUUCUGUAGCAAGGUUAACCGUAUAGGGGAGCCGCAGGGAAACCGAGUCUUAACUGGGCGUUAAGUUGCAGGGUAUAGACCCGAAACCCGGUGAUCUAGCCAUGGGCAGGUUGAAGGUUGGGUAACACUAACUGGAGGACCGAACCGACUAAUGUUGAAAAAUUAGCGGAUGACUUGUGGCUGGGGGUGAAAGGCCAAUCAAACCGGGAGAUAGCUGGUUCUCCCCGAAAGCUAUUUAGGUAGCGCCUCGUGAACUCAUCUUCGGGGGUAGAGCACUGUUUCGGCUAGGGGGUCAUCCCGACUUACCAACCCGAUGCAAACUACGAAUACCGAAGAAUGUUAUCACGGGAGACACACGGCGGGUGCUAACGUCCGUCGUGAAGAGGGAAACAACCCAGACCGCCAGCUAAGGUCCCAAAGUCAUGGUUAAGUGGGAAACGAUGUGGGAAGGCCCAGACAGCCAGGAUGUUGGCUUAGAAGCAGCCAUCAUUUAAAGAAAGCGUAAUAGCUCACUGGUCGAGUCGGCCUGCGCGGAAGAUGUAACGGGGCUAAACCAUGCACCGAAGCUGCGGCAGCGACACUAUGUGUUGUUGGGUAGGGGAGCGUUCUGUAAGCCGUUGAAGGUGGCCUGUGAGGGUUGCUGGAGGUAUCAGAAGUGCGAAUGCUGACAUAAGUAACGAUAAUGCGGGUGAAAAACCCGCACGCCGGAAGACCAAGGGUUCCUGUCCAACGUUAAUCGGGGCAGGGUGAGUCGACCCCUAAGGCGAGGCCGAAAGGCGUAGUCGAUGGGAAACAGGUUAAUAUUCCUGUACUCGGUGUUACUGCGAAGGGGGGACGGAGAAGGCUAUGUUGGCCGGGCGACGGUUGUCCCGGUUUAAGCAUGUAGGCGGAUGUUCCAGGUAAAUCCGGAACGUUACUAACGCUGAGGUGUGAUGACGAGGCACUACGGUGCUGAAGUGACAAAUGCCCUGCUUCCAGGAAAAGCCUCUAAGCAUCAGGUAACAUCAAAUCGUACCCCAAACCGACACAGGUGGUCAGGUAGAGAAUACCAAGGCGCUUGAGAGAACUCGGGUGAAGGAACUAGGCAAAAUGGUGCCGUAACUUCGGGAGAAGGCACGCUGAUAUGUAGGUGAAGUGGUUUACCCAUGGAGCUGAAAUCAGUCGAAGAUACCAGCUGGCUGCAACUGUUUAUUAAAAACACAGCACUGUGCAAACACGAAAGUGGACGUAUACGGUGUGACGCCUGCCCGGUGCCGGAAGGUUAAUUGAUGGGGUUAUCCGUAAGGAGAAGCUCUUGAUCGAAGCCCCGGUAAACGGCGGCCGUAACUAUAACGGUCCUAAGGUAGCGAAAUUCCUUGUCGGGUAAGUUCCGACCUGCACGAAUGGCGUAAUGAUGGCCAGGCUGUCUCCACCCGAGACUCAGUGAAAUUGAACUCGCUGUGAAGAUGCAGUGUACCCGCGGCAAGACGGAAAGACCCCGUGAACCUUUACUAUAGCUUGACACUGAACACUGGUCCUUGAUGUGUAGGAUAGGUGGGAGGCUUUGAAGUGUGGACGCCAGUCUGCAUGGAGCCAUCCUUGAAAUACCACCCUUUAAUGGCUGGUGUUCUAACGUGGGCCCGUUAUCCGGGUUGCGGACAGUGUCUGGUGGGUAGUUUGACUGGGGCGGUCUCCUCCUAAAGAGUAACGGAGGAGCACGAAGGUCAGCUAAUCCUGGUCGGACAUCAGGAGGUUAGUGCAAUGGCAUAAGCUGGCUUGACUGCGAGCGUGACGGCGCGAGCAGGUGCGAAAGCAGGUCAUAGUGAUCCGGUGGUUCUGAAUGGAAGGGCCAUCGCUCAACGGAUAAAAGGUACUCCGGGGAUAACAGGCUGAUACCGCCCAAGAGUUCAUAUCGACGGCGGUGUUUGGCACCUCGAUGUCGGCUCAUCACAUCCUGGGGCUGAAGUAGGUCCCAAGGGUAUGGCUGUUCGCCAUUUAAAGUGGUACGCGAGCUGGGUUUAGAACGUCGUGAGACAGUUCGGUCCCUAUCUGCCGUGGGCGCUGGAGAAUUGAGGGGGGCUGCUCCUAGUACGAGAGGACCGGAGUGGACGCAUCACUGGUGUUCGGGUUGUCAUGCCAAUGGCAUUGCCCGGUAGCUAAAUGCGGAAGAGAUAAGUGCUGAAAGCAUCUAAGCACGAAACUUGCCCCGAGAUGAGUUCUCCCUGACUCCUUGAGAGUCCUGAAGGAACGUUGAAGACGACGACGUUGAUAGGCCGGGUGUGUAAGCGCAGCGAUGCGUUGAGCUAACCGGUACUAAUGAACCGUGAGGCUUAACCUU